UUAACACAUGCAAGUCGAACGAUGAACCUCGCUUGCGGGGGGAUUAGUGGCGAACGGGUGAGUAACACGUGAGUAACCUGCCCUUAACUCUGGGAUAAGCCUUGGAAACGGGGUCUAAUACUGGAUAUUGACUUUUCCUCGCAUGGGGAUUGGUUGAAAGAUUUAUUGGUUUUGGAUGGACUCGCGGCCUAUCAGCUUGUUGGUGAGGUAAUGGCUCACCAAGGCGACGACGGGUAGCCGGCCUGAGAGGGUGACCGGCCACACUGGGACUGAGACACGGCCCAGACUCCUACGGGAGGCAGCAGUGGGGAAUAUUGCACAAUGGGCGAAAGCCUGAUGCAGCGACGCCGCGUGAGGGAUGACGGCCUUCGGGUUGUAAACCUCUUUCAGUAGGGAACAAGGCCAGUGUUUAGCUGGUUGAGGGUACUUGCAGAAGAAGCGCCGGCUAACUACGUGCCAGCAGCCGCGGUAAUACGUAGGGCGCAAGCGUUAUCCGGAAUUAUUGGGCGUAAAGAGCUCGUAGGCGGUUUGUCGCGUCUGCCGUGAAAGUCCGGGGCUCAACCCCGGAUCUGCGGUGGGUACGGGCAGACUAGAGUGAUGUAGGGGAGACUGGAAUUCCUGGUGUAGCGGUGAAAUGCGCAGAUAUCAGGAGGAACACCGAUGGCGAAGGCAGGUCUCUGGGCAUUAACUGACGCUGAGGAGCGAAAGCAUGGGGAGCGAACAGGAUUAGAUACCCUGGUAGUCCAUGCCGUAAACGUUGGGCACUAGGUGUGGGGGACAUUCCACGUUUUCCGCGCCGUAGCUAACGCAUUAAGUGCCCCGCCUGGGGAGUACGCCGCAGGCUAAAAACUCAAAGAAUGACGGGGCCCGCACAGCGGCGGAGCAUGCGAUUAUCGAUGCACGCGAGAUCUUACAGCUUGACAUGACUGGAAACGCUGAAACAGUGCCCGCUGCGUCCGAUACAGUGAGAUGCAUGGAUGUCAUCAGCUCGAUCUGAAUGUAGUUAGUCCCCCACGAGGCACUCG
Molecule: ribosomal RNA, 1025 nt
Filed under: Arthrobacter sp. TSBY-53
Lineage: Bacteria; Bacillati; Actinomycetota; Actinomycetes; Micrococcales; Micrococcaceae
Description: bacterial SSU rRNA
Rfam family: Bacterial small subunit ribosomal RNA
Source: RNAcentral